UGGCUCCCACUAUUGGAGAUGCCCUUAGUUGUUACUUGUAAGUUAACCUACAGCCCUAAUUCCCUUAUUUCUCUACUAUAAAUCGUAAUGUGGAGUGGAUGAAACAUUUUUAAGACCCCAGAGAGAAAUUGCCGCCGCCGCCGCAUCGGACGGAUAAUUAGAGAAAUUUCCGCCGCCGCCGCUAUAACAUUUAUAUUUUUUUGUAGAAACGGACCGACCAUGAAGAACAACUUUAGUAAGCUGAUGAUCCUCCCUUGGAAUUUGAUGACUGCCCAGCUAGCUGAGCUAAUGGCUGCUGCUGCAGGUGGUUUCAUUUCUUGGUUGGAUUUGAUGUUUUGCCUUACUCAUCUGAGUUUGUCCUUUUUUUGGCUUUGGUUUUCAAACUAUAUUUUGGUUUGAUAUGGGGAGACUGGAAAUGAUGAAUGAAGCAGAUAUUAAGUUUUUUUUUUCUCCUAUCUCAAGUAAAAGAAUGGCACAGUGGUAAUGGUGGCAGGGAUUGGGCAACACUUACAAAUUGCAUAUUGGACAUUAUUUUACAAUGGCAUAAAUGUCAAUUAAUUGUAUAUUUUUUGCCAAAGUAAGCAAGUCCUGGAGAAGUAGUAUACUUAUAAGGCUAAACUCAUCUAGAGGCCCUUGUACUAUAUCAUUUUUGUUCAAAAAGCCCUUGUACUAUUUUUUUGUUCUUCA
Long non-coding RNA from Mercurialis annua (annual mercury), 687 nucleotides. RefSeq lists it as uncharacterized. NCBI's taxonomy places the organism in Eukaryota, Viridiplantae, Streptophyta, Magnoliopsida, Malpighiales, Euphorbiaceae. The transcript has 2 exons. The record is from RefSeq and is a predicted model, not a curated record.